GUUCGGAUUGCAGGCUGCAACCCGCCUGUAUGAAGUUGGAAUCGCUAGUAAUCGCGGAUCAGCAUGCCGCGGUGAAUACGUUCCCGGGCCUUGUACACACCGCCCGUCACACCAUGAGAGUCGGGAACACCCGAAGUCCGUAGUCUAACCGCAAGGGGACGCGGCCGAAGGUGGGUUCGAUAAUUGGGGUGAAGUCGUAACAAGGUACC
RNAcentral lists this ribosomal RNA (209 nucleotides) under uncultured bacterium. Its description in RNAcentral is "partial 16S ribosomal RNA". It matches the Rfam family "Bacterial small subunit ribosomal RNA", at positions 1291 to 1500 of the family's 1533-position model. The record is from RNAcentral.